UACGGAGGGUGCAAGCGUUAUCCGGAUUCACUGGGUUUAAAGGGUGCGUAGGUGGGCAGGUAAGUCAGUGGUGAAAUCUCCGGGCUUAACCCGGAACUGCCGUUGAUACUAUCUGUCUUGAAUAUCCUGGAGGUGAGCGGAAUAUGUCAUGUAGCGGUGAAAUGCUUAGAUAUGACAUAGAACACCAAUUGCGAAGGCAGCUUACUACACAAUUAUUGACGCUGAGGCACGAAAGCGUGGGGAUCAAACAGG
Molecule: ribosomal RNA, 252 nt
Filed under: uncultured bacterium
Lineage: Bacteria
Description: partial 16S ribosomal RNA
Rfam family: Bacterial small subunit ribosomal RNA
Source: RNAcentral